RNAcentral lists this ribosomal RNA (375 nucleotides) under uncultured bacterium. RNAcentral describes it as "bacterial SSU rRNA". It matches the Rfam family "Bacterial small subunit ribosomal RNA", at positions 524 to 898 of the family's 1533-position model. The record is from RNAcentral.
UACAGAGGGUGCAAGCGUUAAUCGGAUUUACUGGGCGUAAAGCGUGCGUAGGCGGUCAGAUAAGUCGGAUGUGAAAUCCCUGGGCUCAACCUGGGAACUGCAUUCGAUACUGUCUGACUAGAAUUCGGUAGAGGGUGGCGGAACUCCGGGUGUAGCGGUGAAAUGCGUAGAUAUCCGGAAGAACACCGAUGGCGAAGGCAACCACCUGGGCCUGAAUUGACGCUGAGGCACGAAAGCGUGGGGAGCAAACAGGAUUAGAUACCCUGGUAGUCCACGCCGUAAACGAUGAGAACUUGACGUCGGAUUGCUUAGCAAUUCGGUGUCGUAGCUAACGCGAUAAGUUCUCCGCCUGGGGAGUACGGCCGCAAGGUUGAA